AUAUUUGCUGCCGUUAUGUCAUGAAAAAUGCUGUAUCUCUUGAUCUUUUUAAGAUUAUGAUUUUUGUAGAUCCCAGCUAGUACCAAAAACGUAGGAUGACAGGUUGCCAAAAGCUAGAAAUUUAAACCAGAGGCAGAGACAAGAUUUAGGCAAAGCAGAAAAUUAGACGCAGCACCGGACCCAGGAUGGGCGUGGUCCUGGUCCAGACGAGAAGAGGACCAGUCGCCUCCGGCCAAUCAGAGCACGCCCUGCGCUCCGGCCCCUGGCCCCGCCCCCUUCCUCCCCGCGCCUUUUCGAAUCUCCCCGAACUCUCAACACCCCAGAGCCCGCGCGCGUGGGAAGGGGAGGGGUGGGCGGGGCUAACGGUCCAAUCCGGGUAACUCCGCCCCUGCCUGACUCCCCCCGCGCAGACGCCCCCCCCCAACUCCCGCCAAAAACACCUCCAGGCCGCCGCCACCACCCCCGUCACAGUUCACCGGGUGGGGCAGGCCCUGGGAACAGGCCCCCGGGUGGCCCCGCGGUGGGCUCGUCACCGCCUCCCGCCGUCCCUAUGCCCAGCCUGCCGCCAUCCAAGCUGUCCGCCCGUCCGGCCGCGAAGACAGAAGAACCCUCGCGGGGACCGGGAGCGCCGCCCCUCAGUCACCAGCUGCGGUCGCCAGGGGACGGUCGCGGGGAGGGUCGCGUCCCUGGCUGCCCGCAGUUUGGCCCUAAAGCCGCUGGUCCCGGGGGGCGCCGCCCCGUCCCUUCAGACAAUGGGGACCCCGGCGGGGCCCGCAGGGAAGAGAGGGAGUGAGCCCACAGGUCGCGGGCGUGUCCCUUCCCUCGCUGUGUGCGUUCUUGCCAGCAUCCUCAGGUUCCCGAGCCGGUGACCAGGGACCUGUGCGGGAAAGCGUGAGGCUCUGGAAUUUGAUCGCCUUUGGUCUAACAAAGCCACUCAGCUUCAAUGCAGACUCCAUCUGUUCUGCCAAGCCUUCCGCGGAUGAUAGGGGAGGAAGAGCAAUAGUCGUUCUAGACUACACAGAUUGCAGUUAAGUGUUGCUUUUGUUCUCAGAGCACGUGCUCCCCAGAGCAGCACUGGGUUCCUUUUAAAAAUCAAAAAAGGAGCCACAAGGUCGCUGUUCCCCCUGACCUGGAUAGCUCAGAACCUCAGCAGAGGCACAAAGGAAAUCGGUCUGACUGAGGCUUAGAAUAACUGGCCCUUUCUCCCACAAGAAGAGGGAAAAAAAUAAAUGAAAUGUACAUGGUCCCCGCCUCCUCCCAUUCUCUGACCAAGACUGUGUCCUCCGUUGGUGGUCAAUACACCAAGGCACCUGCUUUGAGAUCUUGACUAAACAGAAGAGGUAUAUUUAUUUUAUUAAUGGGCUGCAUCUCCCCAAAUCAAGAAAUAAAUAUGACCAACCUUCCUGAAACAGCCGUUCUAAUUUAGAAAGACUCUCAUGCCUAGUUAGCCACUAGGCAUGUGCCAGAGAUAAAAUACAACUAAGAGGUGCCCGAGACAAUAAAAACUGGAUCAUACAAGCAGCAGCACACUACACAAAGCAAACAAUUAGCAAUGCGCUGUUGCCUGAAAUAUGCUUGUUGCGGCACUUUUUCCAACAAUCGCCCUUGUGUGGGGUCGGCCUCCCCCCGAAGCCAAUCUAAGUGGUUUUCACUUAGCCUGUGAGCAGGACCAGGAAUAAUUCAGAUUCUGAGCAUUGAAAGGCUUCUCAGACCAAAUUUGGCUUCAAAAUGGCUAGGUGCUUCCAUCUGUCAUUUUUCUGAACAGAGUCUCAGAAAUCAUUAGAAAAGUUGGAGAGGGAUGGGGAUGAGACCCCUCAGGAAAGUGACAGAUAGGCAGGCAACACAAAUGAGCAAGGAACCCAAGCCCAAGAGGUCCUUACCCACUAAACAGGCUUUUUAUCUUGAAGUCUUUGUAUUUGAUCUGGAGGUUCACGGAGGAAAGUCCCACUCAUUUAAUGCAUUUUUUUAAGUACAAUAAAUUGCCACACAAAAAUCUCACAUUCCUAACUAUUAAUGUUGUGACAGAAAAAGGAAAUAAAUCUUUCAAAACACUGAUUAUUUUAAAGCACUUACACUGCUUCCCCCCACCUUUUCUUUCUCCCUAGAGCAGAUGUCUAUUUCCAUGGAAACCAUAGCAAGGAACGUAGAUGUUAGAACUCAUGUCAAUUUUUAAUCUUUUUUAGCAAUGCCACUUGGCUUCUGGGUUUGUUGGGAGAUGCCUGGUUCGGCCAGUCUGUGACAAUGUCCCGAGCUCCUCACAGCUGCUUGAGGACUGAGAGGGCUGGGUUAAAGUUUCCCCUAGAAUGAGCCUAUGAAUAAAAAGGUGCUUUUGA
Non-coding RNA from Macaca mulatta (Rhesus monkey), 2333 nucleotides. Lineage: Eukaryota; Metazoa; Chordata; Mammalia; Primates; Cercopithecidae. The record is from RefSeq and is a predicted model, not a curated record.